AACAUACUCCCUCCGUUCCAAAUUACUCGUCGCAGAAAUGGAUGUAUCUAGAACUAAAAUACAUCUAGAUACAUCCAUAUCUGCGGCAAGUAAUUCGGAACGGAGGGAGUAUUUC
This is a non-coding RNA of Triticum aestivum (bread wheat), 115 nucleotides long. Lineage: Eukaryota; Viridiplantae; Streptophyta; Magnoliopsida; Poales; Poaceae. The record is from Rfam.